UACGUAGGGGGCAAGCGUUAUCCGGAUUUACUGGGUGUAAAGGGAGCGUAGACGGCGGGGCAAGUCUGGAGUGAAAGGCCGGGGCCCAACCCCGGGACCGCUCUGGAAACUGCCCGGCUGGAGUGCGGGAGAGGUAAGCGGAAUUCCUAGUGUAGCGGUGAAAUGCGUAGAUAUCACACAGAACACCGAUUGCGAAGGCAUCUCACGAAUCCGCGAUUGACGCUGAUGCACGAAAGCGUGGGUAUCAAACAGG
Molecule: ribosomal RNA, 253 nt
Filed under: uncultured Eubacteriales bacterium
Lineage: Bacteria; Bacillati; Bacillota; Clostridia; Eubacteriales
Description: uncultured Clostridiales bacterium partial 16S ribosomal RNA
Rfam family: Bacterial small subunit ribosomal RNA
Source: RNAcentral